AUGGUUUUAUUUGGGGUUUUUUUUAAACCACAGCUGACUUUUGGCAGUCUGGAGGCCAGAGAGGGGCUGGAGCACAGUGGAGCAGCAGCCAUGGUGCCAGAGCAUGGCUCAGCCCUUGCUGGGGGCUGCGGUGUCUGUUUUUGUGUUGGGGGUGACCUCGGCCCAUGGCGGGAGCGGGGUGCUGCCGUUCCCACCCAUGCUUUGGUUCAACCGCAUCUCCCCCUGUUCUCUCCGUCCCCCUCAUCCAGCUGCUGCAGGGGCAAGGUCCCCCUCUCUGCCCAGGCUCCCAGACUUUUGGGGGCCAAGAUCCCCCCUCCAUAUCCCGGCAUGUGCCAGGUCAGGGCAGGGAGAACUCAGCUGAGCACGCACAAACGAGGGGCAGCGGCUGCCGCAGCAUCUAAGCUGCCUCAAAAUGCCUCCCACCCCCCACCCCGAAAGGAGCCAGCGUGGUGCAGUGCUGUUGUCACAGGUCCUUGUCCCACCCGGGGCUGCCUGUGCCACCCCUGCCCCUCUGACUGGGGGUCUGUUGGGGGGGGGUGUCUCCCUCAUCCCUCCCGCUGGGGGCUGAGCGGCUUUUGGAAGAGUCUGGCUGGGGAGGUGGAGCGGAUGAUGCCCCGAGGCUGGAGACUCCCACUGCUGGGGGGCUUCCCCAAGGGGCUUCCCCAUGUCCUUGCCCCACACCCCUGUCCUGUCCUGGGCUUGGUGGGAGGUGGGAGGCUUCACGUGAGGUUGCAGACCCAGCUCCAGGCUCUGGCCAGGUCAGGCAGGGCUUUGGGCUGCGGAGGGAAGGCAGACAGACAGACAGACAGGUAUCCGCACUCCUUCCCCCGUUGUGGAGCGUGCAGAGGUGGGCGCCGGCAGCAGCGUGGUGUUACCAAUGGCGGCUCUCCCCGGCACCUCUCCCUCCCUGUAACUCCUCAGAAGCUUGUUUUUAAGUUGGAGUUUGUUUCCUCGUUGCUCUUCAGGACAGACCUGAGCCCCGGCCCCCCGCUGCUGCGCGGGGAGGGGUUUGCCUUUGGCUCCCGUUGCGCUGCCCCCUUCUCCCACCAUAGCUCACAGGACCCUCGCACCUCCCUCUGCACCCACCUGGGCUCCCCAGGGCCCCGGCACGGCCUCUGCGGGGUGGGAGCAGGAUUUGGCUCCGUCCCAUCUCUGCCAUCCUUCGCCUCUCUACUAGCGCGCUGCUGUGGCUGCCUGCCCCGUUUGAACCCUGUCAGGGAACUUGGACUUCACGGCAUAGCAAUGUAUCGUUACACCAAUAAAGUUUUUCUGUGA
Molecule: long non-coding RNA, 1275 nt
Filed under: Buteo japonicus
Lineage: Eukaryota; Metazoa; Chordata; Aves; Accipitriformes; Accipitridae
Description: lncRNA (ENSBJAG00000012952.1)
Source: RNAcentral